Molecule: ribosomal RNA, 469 nt
Filed under: uncultured bacterium
Lineage: Bacteria
Description: partial 16S ribosomal RNA
Rfam family: Bacterial small subunit ribosomal RNA
Source: RNAcentral
GACGAACGCUGGCGGCGUGCUUAACACAUGCAAGUCGAACGGAAAGGCCCUGCUUGCAGGGUGCUCGAGUGGCGAACGGGUGAGUAACACGUGGGUGAUCUGCCCCUUACUUUGGGAUAAGCCUGGGAAACUGGGUCUAAUACUGGAUAGGACCAUGCUGUAGGUGGUGUGGUGGAAAGAUUAGUUUCGGUAAGGGAUGAGCUCGCGGCCUAUCAGCUUGUUGGUGGGGUAAUGGCCUACCAAGGCGUCGACGGGUAGCCGGCCUGAGAGGGUGGACGGCCACAUUGGGACUGAGAUACGGCCCAGGCUCCUACGGGAGGCAGCAGUGGGGAAUAUUGCACAAUGGGCGCAAGCCUGAUGCAGCGACGCCGCGUGGGGGAUGACGGCCUUCGGGUUGUAAACUCCUCUCAGCCAUGACGAAGCCCUUGUGGUGACGGUAGUGGUAGAAGAAGCACCGGCUAACUACGUG